GGUAGUGUAGUUAACACCUGCACUUAUUUGACGUUACCUACAGAAGAAGCACCGGCUAACUCCGUGCCAGCAGCCGCGGUAAUACGGAGGGUGCGAGCGUUAAUCGGAAUUACUGGGACGUAAAGCGCAUGCAGGCCGGCCUUGUUAAGUCAGAUGUGAAAGCCCCGGGGCUUAAACCUCGGAAUUGCAUUUGAAACUGGCAGGCUAGAGUCUUGUAGGAGGGGGUAGAAUUUCAGGUGUAGCGGUGAAAUGCGUAGAGAUCUGAAGGAAUACCAGUGGCGAAGGCGGCCCCCUGGACAAAGACUGACGCUCAGAUGCGAAAGCGUGGGGAGCAAACAGGAUUAGAUACCCCUGGUAG
Molecule: ribosomal RNA, 358 nt
Filed under: uncultured bacterium
Lineage: Bacteria
Description: bacterial SSU rRNA
Rfam family: Bacterial small subunit ribosomal RNA
Source: RNAcentral